This 1393-nucleotide ribosomal RNA is filed under the name uncultured bacterium. Its description in RNAcentral is "16S ribosomal RNA". It matches the Rfam family "Bacterial small subunit ribosomal RNA". The record is from RNAcentral.
GGCAGGCUUAACACAUGCAAGUCGAGGGGCAUCGGGAGGAAAGCUUGCUUUCCUUGCCGGCGACCGGCGCACGGGUGAGUAACACGUAUGCAACCUGCCCUCUUCAGGGGGACAACCUUCCGAAAGGGAGGCUAAUCCCGCGUAUAUCGGUUUCGGGCAUCCGAGAUCGAGGAAAGAUUCAUCGGAAGAGGAUGGGCAUGCGGCGCAUUAGCUAGAUGGCGGGGUAACGGCCCACCGUGGCGACGAUGCGUAGGGGUUCUGAGAGGAAGGUCCCCCACACUGGUACUGAGACACGGACCAGACUCCUACGGGAGGCAGCAGUGAGGAAUAUUGGUCAAUGGGAGAGAUCCUGAACCAGCCAAGCCGCGUGAGGGAAGACGGCCCUAUGGGUUGUAAACCUCUUUUGUCGGAGAACAAAACCCGGGACGUGUCCCGGACUGCGUGUAUCCGAAGAAAAAGCAUCGGCUAACUCCGUGCCAGCAGCCGCGGUAAUACGGAGGAGGCGAGCGUUAUCCGGAUUUAUUGGGUUUAAAGGGUGCGUAGGCGGUCCGAUAAGUCAGUGGUAAAAUUGCGGGGCUCAACCCCGUCGAGCCGUUGAAACUGGCAGACUUGAGUUGGCGAGAAGUACGCGGAAUGCGCGGUGUAGCGGUGAAAUGCAUAGAUAUCGCGCAGAACUCCGAUUGCGAAGGCAGCGUACCGGCGCCAGACUGACGCUGAGGCACGAAAGCGUGGGGAUCGAACAGGAUUAGAUACCCUGGUAGUCCACGCAGUAAACGAUGAAUGCUGGUUGUCCGGGUCGAAUGAGACCUGGGCGGCGAAGCGAAAGCGAUAAGCAUUCCACCUGGGGAGUACGCCGGCAACGGUGAAACUCAAAGGAAUUGACGGGGGCCCGCACAAGCGGAGGAACAUGUGGUUUAAUUCGAUGAUACGCGAGGAACCUUACCCGGGCUCAAACGGGAGUGGAAUGGACCAGAGACGGUUCAGCCUACGGGCCGCUUCCGAGGUGCUGCAUGGUUGUCGUCAGCUCGUGCCGUGAGGUGUCGGCUUAAGUGCCAUAACGAGCGCAACCCCCGCCGGCAGUUGCUAACGGGCAAUGCCGAGGACUCUGCCGGGACUGCCGCCGCAAGGCGUGAGGAAGGCGGGGAUGACGUCAAAUCAGCACGGCCCUUACGUCCGGGGCGACACACGUGUUACAAUGGGCGGUACAGCGGGAAGCCAGGCGGCGACGCCGAGCGGAACCCGAAAGCCGUUCUCAGUUCGGAUCGGAGUCUGCAACCCGACUCCGUGAAGCUGGAUUCGCUAGUAAUCGCGCAUCAGCCAUGGCGCGGUGAAUACGUUCCCGGGCCUUGUACACACCGCCCGUCAAGCCAUGGGAGCCGGGGGUGCUUGAAGU